GUUGUAAGUCCGAUCAGGAAAGGUCGGCACGGGUAAAAAAAAUCACAUAUAUAUGUAAAACUUUGUUCCUUUUGGACAUGUUUCUAAUAGGAGGACGGUGUGUGCAUCUUAUUAUGGGGCGCAGAAAGGAAGAACUUCUGUUUGUUCCUCGUGUCUUUCCAAAUACAACUUAUAAGUCGUAACAAUUUUUGUCCUUUUCAGAAUUUACAUAUAAGUGAGUUGUAAGUCCGACCAACACAGGUCGGCACGGGUAAGAACUUUAUAUGUAUACUGAAGUUCCCUUUUGACGUGUAAAGGAUGGUGUGUGCAUCGUGUUAAGGGGCGCACUAAGAAAGAAAUUCCGUUUUGCUCCUCGUAUCUUUCCAAACGCCCAUGUCAAAAUGAAUGUAAAACCAACUUGUAAGUCCGACCAGAAUGGUUGGCACUGGGAUUCGAAAAAAGCAACAACAUAGUAUUAUCUGUUUCAUAUAUCAGCUGUGUUUAGCUUGUUUAUAUAAGGACAAGACCUAUAUUGUGUAUAAUUUUCUAUUGGUGUUUUGGUGUUUACCAUAACCGUCGUUUCCUUAUUGUAUGAACGCGGUAUACACGCUCCUUUUGGUUUGUGUUGACGAGCUCAUCAGUCCAAGGUUAAAAGCACUGUUAUGUAUGAGGACAACAGAUUCAUUCAAAUUGUUGGCCACAAUCGCGAAUGUGAAUAUUGUACAUGUAAUAACAUUUUUCUCCCAUGACGAAAUUUUGACUGAUAGGUCAACUUGCUUAAAAUUUUUUUGCGUAAGUCCGAUCAUUCAAGGUCGGCAUGCAAUUGCCAAAACAUGUAUGUUAUUACUAUCCCUUUAAUUUUCAAGGCGCGCAUCUUGAUUGUAGCAGUACAAAAUAAAGGGAUCAUUAAACACUACAAAUAACAGGCAGGUAAUUGGAAGACAUAGAACACUUUGUCGCUGGAGUGCCGCAUCUCUUCUCGUGGAUGAGAAAGAUGUGAAGAAAAAGGUAAAUUUUGUGUAAGUUGUAAUUAAUUUUUUCAUUUAGCUUGGCCUAAGAACAGUUAAUAGUCAGGCCUAUGGUAAGGUGACGAAAGACCAAAUGACGUGACUUGGAGUUGACUCGACGACUUGUGAUACAUGUAGUUGGAAUAAAUACUAACCUUGCCCAGCAAAGGCCGAGUUUUUUUGUCUUCAACAGCACGAGAUUUACACAGUGUUUCGGGAGUGGCGUAACCAUCCUAAGACGAGCUGGAUGAGGAGGAGACUGCAGCAUCCCAAGUUCACCUGGCUGAGAUGACGAAUGAGAAUGCAAGCCAGGAGGGAAACUGAGCGAUGACCCCACUGGAUGAGCUUUGUAUGCCGUUUCUACAUGGAAGCCAGUCAACUAAAACGGUGAUGGGAUACAGCUCCAAGUUUGUGGGAUCAUCCGCUCUACAUUGCGAUGGCUUCGUGUCCCGGAAUUCCCCAAUCGCCAUGUUGAUGCGUGGAGGUAACUUCUGAAAUCUGGAACGGCCUUUCACGUCCAACUUUGAGUGACGACAAGAACUCAGCUGACACCGACCCUGUUGUGAUUGACUAUCUUCCUAACCUAUCGCAGGCUGGCUCAGUAUAUGAACAAUUGUCUUAGGAUUCACAAAGAUAUUUGUUGUGUUCAGAGAAUAAAAAAAAAAAAUUAUCAUGCAAGAAAUAAAUUACAUAAUUAUGUUAUUAAAAGCUUCUCAUCUGUGUACAUUUCUAUAAAAGUAUAUCAAUAAUGUAGACAAAGUGGCCGAUAUUGAAUCCUAGGAUUUUCCAUGAUAACCAGCAUAAUCUUAUAGACCAAUCCUGGCACGCUAUAAAUUCUAUCACGGAGGCCCCCAUCAAUGGCGAAAGCAUUGUGCUAGCUAUUGUUUCUCCAUUGAAGGGGGCCUCGUGAAUGUAAAGUGUUCACGUGCCCGGAUUCAUCUAGAAUGACUUAUAUAGAAAAUCCUCGUAGCAUUGUUGAGAAAAUUUAACUAAAAUCAAACAUGUCAGACAAAAUGUAUUGUCAGACGAAUGUAUUGUAUUGACUUUAAAGUGUUCCGUUUUCAUAAACUUUCAAGAUGUCAAAACAGUUGGGGAUAUUGAAUCAUGAAUGUACUCUUUACCGAGCCAGUAAAUUGAAGAUAUAAGGAAAUGGUUCAGGUUCACUGUAAAAUAGCAUGGAGUUGGUAAGCAGAAAAUAUAUGCGCUUAGCAAAAUCAGCUGAAAAAAAAACACUCGGCAGUAUGCAUUGCACAACACUUUGGCUAUAAGCAUAUAUUGGUAAGCGAAUAUUUUCUUAGCUUUGAUUAAUUCUCUGUCUAGCAGCUCCAUUUAAUUGGCUUUCUCUUUAUGGUUAUCUAUCUGCUUCAAACACUUCAAAACAAUUUGUAUUUGGCUUCGAUCGCUAUAUUAUUAGGCCUGUGAAAAUUAUGGGAUUAACAAAAUUUCCAAUUCGGGUUUUUACCUGUAUUUUUUUUACUCUUCGGAUGUCAACCUAAAUUCUUGUUUUUAAUUGACUUAGACAUUUUCCAAAUAGAUAUACAACGAAAUGUGAAUACAUUGUAUGUUUUUUUAUUGAAUUCUUUGGUGUACGCUACUUUAUACACAAUACUAUCAUGUACGUUACCUCAGUUCUGUUUUCAAGUACCUAUAAUAGUAAACGGUACUAUUAGAUUGUAGGUACACACAGUUAUACAUGUAUGAUGUACGUAAACGGAACGAAUGUAUACGUAUACAUUAGUUAUGUUAUUUUUAUGCAGGCCAAAAUAAAAAAUAAUAAUAAAUUCCUUAAGUUUAAAAAGAUGUCUCUUUCUAAGAGAUCUCAGUUUAUCUCUAUCUCAAUAGAAAUAGCUCAAAGUUAGAAAUGAAAUAUCUGUAUUUUUAAUAGAAAUCUUUAUUAAAAACUGGAGGUGGGCUAUGGAUUUUUUAAAAGGAUUAUCUUUGCACGCCGUAUAAUUUGCUUUCGUGAAUACGUACAAUUUCCAAGUACCUCUACGAUAUUAUGUGGAUAUAACCUAUGUCUUUAUUCCUCCAUGGUCUCCUGAAAAGUGCAUCCAUUUGCACGAUACUUGAUACACGAUACUUGUAUUUGUGUACACAAGAUAAUGACGUACUUGGAAUUGUGAACUCUAUGUAAUUUGUGUAUACGAUAGUAUUGUGUAUGUUCACGAUUGAUAAAAGUCCCCCCCCCCAAAAAAAAGAGGGAAGUCACCGUAUCCAGGUCUCGUUCAAAAUAUUUAAAAGAACAUAAAGCAAAAUGCAAAUGAAUUCUGUGUUAAUGUACAAAAAAAAUCACAAAAGAUUUUCAAAUGCCGAGUCAUAUUAUGUAAGACUAUAGCUAAGGUUUAUGAGCAUGAUCAACACAACAAACAUGAUCUUUUGUAUAUUUUGUAUAUUUUUCAUUACCUUUUUAUAUGUAGGCAUGGGCUCAAGGUUCUUUAAAAUUAUUCUAAUGUUUACUUUAAUUGCUGAUAAUAAUUGUAUUACGUGAAUAGUUGAAGAAUGGUGAUCCAGCUAUUAAACAACAAAGAUACUAUGAAAUAGU
Molecule: long non-coding RNA, 3528 nt
Filed under: Patiria miniata (bat star)
Lineage: Eukaryota; Metazoa; Echinodermata; Asteroidea; Valvatida; Asterinidae
Description: uncharacterized LOC119726609
Source: RNAcentral